Molecule: ribosomal RNA, 318 nt
Filed under: uncultured Lachnospiraceae bacterium
Lineage: Bacteria; Bacillati; Bacillota; Clostridia; Lachnospirales; Lachnospiraceae
Description: bacterial SSU rRNA
Rfam family: Bacterial small subunit ribosomal RNA
Source: RNAcentral
GAUGAACGCUGGCGGCGUGCUUAACACAUGCAAGUCGAACGGACUUAUUUAGGAGCUUGCUUUUGAAUAAGUUAGUGGCGGACGGGUGAGUAACGCGUGGGUAACCUGCCGUAUGCUGGGGGACAACAGUUGGAAACGACUGCUAAUACCGCAUAAGCGCACGGAGUCGCAUGACUCAGUGUGAAAAACUCCGGUGGCAUACGAUGGACCCGCGUCUGAUUAGGCAGUUGGCGAGGUAACGGCUCACCAAACCGACGAUCAGUAGCCGGCCUGAGAGGGUGAACGGCCACAUUGGGACUGAGACACGGCCCAAACUCC